This 516-nucleotide ribosomal RNA is filed under the name Triticum aestivum (bread wheat). Its description in RNAcentral is "partial small subunit ribosomal RNA". Lineage: Eukaryota; Viridiplantae; Streptophyta; Magnoliopsida; Poales; Poaceae. The record is from RNAcentral.
AUGGUUGAGGUCGGCGAAGCGGCCCAUCGCGCGGCGCCUGGGGACGCUGCCUCCCUCCGCCGCCGCCAAAACCGGAUGGCGUGCUGUCCGGCGAGGGGCCCGACCUAUCGUCUUCGUCGCGCGUCCUGGGCUGACGGAGGGGCAGACGCCGAUGCCCACCAGCGGCGGCAGGCUCGAUCUGGAUAUUCAUCCUCGUGCCCAGUCGCCGCUCCUCGGCAUAUUCCUCUCCCCGCACCGCCGUUCGCUCUAUCGCGUCACCCGCACUGCCGCUCACCUCCGCCUCGUCAGCGCCUUCUGCUGCUACUGCCGCCGGCGCGUCUCCUAGCUCUUGAACGACCAAACCAUGCAUCGCUACUCCAUGGGAUUCUAAUUUGCCUUUGCAUGCUUGCAAGUUUGAUUGCUGGACCAGCUGCUGGACGUGGAGCACUGGAUCCGGCAGGCGGUGGUGCUCUGGGGCGUCGCCCCCCUCGUCGGCGCCUUCUCGCCGUGUACACUCACAAUUAUUGUACAGAUUGA